UGCUAGAAUUGUUUUGGCUGCUCUGCCAUUGGCUGAUAGUUGUGCGGAUGUGUUGGAUGGUUCCAUGUGCCCCCUGUACUGGAAGUGUAUAAGCCAGACAGAAUCAAACCUAGUGUCUUACGACGAACAGGAUGAUGAACAGGGAAGAUGCCUGCAAGGACGUGUAAAUGAGGGGCUGGUAGAGGGAGAGCUCGCUGUAGAGAAGGGUGCUUUCUCUUCAUCCUCCAUCCCGCCCCGCCCUGCCUCUCACUCUCUUGUCCUCUCACCCCGUCUCUCCCCCCUCGCAACUUCACAGCGAAGACACCAGACCAGUUUUUACCCAGAAAAACAUCCAAACUUCUCACCUCUACUUCAGCUGGAAGGUGACAGCUAAAUGGAUGCCAGCGGAUGACAGAGACGGGAUAGGAGGGGCCUUCUGACAUGUGGGGCGCACCCUGAACAGGAAGAGGAAGCUGAGGAAGCUUCUGGAAUGCACCUGGGGUAGGGACCAAACCUUGUCUUUCAUCAGUCAACCUUACAUACUCCAGUACUGAUAAUCUGUCCU
Molecule: long non-coding RNA, 544 nt
Organism: Clupea harengus (Atlantic herring)
Lineage: Eukaryota; Metazoa; Chordata; Actinopteri; Clupeiformes; Clupeidae
Source: Ensembl